Molecule: ribosomal RNA, 497 nt
Filed under: uncultured bacterium
Lineage: Bacteria
Description: partial 16S ribosomal RNA
Rfam family: Bacterial small subunit ribosomal RNA
Source: RNAcentral
GAUGAACGCUGGCGGCGUGCCUAAUACAUGCAAGUCGAGCGAACAGACGAGGAGCUUGCUCCUCUGACGUUAGCGGCGGACGGGUGAGUAACACGUGGAUAACCUACCUAUAAGACUGGGAUAACUUCGGGAAACCGGAGCUAAUACCGGAUAAUAUAUUGAACCGCAUGGUUCAAUAGUGAAAGACGGUUUUGCUGUCACUUAUAGAUGGAUCCGCGCCGCAUUAGCUAGUUGGUAAGGUAACGGCUUACCAAGGCAACGAUGCGUAGCCGACCUGAGAGGGUGGUCGGCCACACGGGAAGUGAGACACGGCCCAGACUCCUACGGGAGGACGCAGUAGGGAAUCUUACGCAAUGGGCGAAAGCUUGACGGAGCAACGCCGCGUGAGUGAUGAAGGUCUUAGGAUCGUAAAAUUCUGUUAUUAGGGAAGAACAAAUGUGUAAGUAACUAUGCUCGUCUUGACGGUACCUAAUCAGAAAGCCACGGCUAACUACGUG